Molecule: long non-coding RNA, 199 nt
Filed under: Elaeis guineensis (African oil palm)
Lineage: Eukaryota; Viridiplantae; Streptophyta; Magnoliopsida; Arecales; Arecaceae
Description: long non-coding RNA (EGUI_LNC030565)
Source: RNAcentral
UGGGUUUUCAAAAUCAAGACCCUAACUUGACCCAUCAUAGGUUUUUUUUAAAAAAAUCCGAUCCUUCUCGGCGGCUAGGGGUGGGUAUCUACUAACAUCUCUAAUCGUGAGACCUCCUGAUCGGAGCAGACAAUACUUCACAUAUUGGGUUAAGCAAUACCUUAUGUGCUAGAUUGAGCAGGGCUCCUCCUGCCUAUAC